RNAcentral lists this ribosomal RNA (450 nucleotides) under uncultured bacterium. RNAcentral's name for it is "partial 16S ribosomal RNA". It matches the Rfam family "Bacterial small subunit ribosomal RNA", at positions 354 to 796 of the family's 1533-position model. The record is from RNAcentral.
GUGGGGAAUAUUGGACAAUGGGCGAAAGCCUGAUCCAGCCAUGCCGCGUGUGUGAAGAAGGUCUUCGGAUUGUAAAGCACUUUAAGUUGGGAGGAAGGGCAUUAACCUAAUACGUUAGUGUUUUGACGUUACCGACAGAAUAAGCACCGGCUAACUUCGUGCCAGCAGCCGCGGUAAUACGAAGGGUGCAAGCGUUAAUCGGAAUUACUGGGCGUAAAGCGCGCGUAGGUGGUUCGUUAAGUUGGAUGUGAAAGCCCCGGGCUCAACCUGGGAACUGCAUCCAAAACUGGCGAGCUAGAGUACGGUAGAGGGUGGUGGAAUUUCCUGUGUAGCGGUGAAAUGCGUAGAUAUAGGAAGCAACACCAGUGGCGAAGGCGACCACCUGGACUGAUACUGACACUGAGGUGCGAAAGCGUGGGGAGCAAACAGGAUUAGAUACCCCAGUAGUCC